AUACCAAGGGUUACAAUUAAAAGCCUACGCAAGCUUGCUUGCAGGAGGCUUUUUGAAUUCGUAACCCGUACCACAUGAGCAAGCAGCCAUUUUCGAAGAAAAUGAGCGGAUUGCGAAUGCGGUCCAGAUUGAGAGAGUGCGAAGCACGAAGCAAUCUGGAUGG
Molecule: small RNA, 163 nt
Filed under: uncultured Acetatifactor sp.
Lineage: Bacteria; Bacillati; Bacillota; Clostridia; Lachnospirales; Lachnospiraceae
Description: Clostridiales-1 RNA
Rfam family: Clostridiales-1 RNA
Source: RNAcentral